UACGUAGGGUGCAAGCGUUAAUCGGAAUUACUGGGCGUAAAGCGUGCGCAGGCGGUUUUGUAAGCCAGAUGUGAAAGCCCCGGGCGUCAACCUGGGAACGUGCGUUUGGUAACUACAAGACUAGAGUGUGUCAGAGGGGGGUGGAAUUCCGCGUGUAGCAGUGAAAUGCGUAGAGAUGCGGAGGAACACCGAUGGCGAAGGACAGCCCCCUGGGAUAACACUGACGCUCAUGCACGAAAGCGUGGGGAGC
This 250-nucleotide ribosomal RNA is filed under the name uncultured bacterium. Its description in RNAcentral is "partial 16S ribosomal RNA". It matches the Rfam family "Bacterial small subunit ribosomal RNA", at positions 524 to 769 of the family's 1533-position model. The record is from RNAcentral.